Molecule: ribosomal RNA, 519 nt
Filed under: uncultured bacterium
Lineage: Bacteria
Description: partial 16S ribosomal RNA
Rfam family: Bacterial small subunit ribosomal RNA
Source: RNAcentral
GACGAACGCUGGCGGCGUGCCUAAUACAUGCAAGUCGAGCGAAUCGGCCUGGAACUUGGGCGUGCUUGGACACUGUGAAACAAGAUAGAAACUAGCAGCGGACCGGUGUGUAACACGUGGAUAACCUGGGCAAGAGGGCGGGAAAACAGCAGGAAAUAGAUGCUAAUACCGUAUAACAACAGAAGAUGGCUAUCAAAUGAUUAAAAGAUGGAUCUGCUAUCACUCUUGGAUGGACCUGCGGUGCAUUAGCUAGUUGGUAGGGUAACGGCCUACCAAGGCGACGAUGCAUAGCCGAGCUGAGAGGCUGAUCGGCCACACUGGAACUGAGACACGGUCCAAACUCCUACGGGAGGCAGCAGUAGGGAAUCUUCCACAAUGGACGAAAGCCUGAUGGAGCAACGCCGCGUGAGUGAAGAAGGGCUUCGGCUCGUAAAGCUCUGUUGUUGGUGAAGAACGAACGUGUUAGUAACUGACCUUGGUUUGACGGUAAUUAAUUAGAAAGUCACGGCUAACUACGUG